CCAGCUGGCCGGGCGGCCGCACUCGCAAACGCCGAAAGGCCGCGGGUGAGGAAAGUCCGGGCUCCAUGGAGACACGGUGCCGGUUAAUGGCCGGCGGGGGCGACCCCAGGGAAAGUGCCACAGAAAGCAAACCGCCACGGUUUCACCGUGGUAAGGCUGAAAGGGUGGG
Molecule: RNase P RNA, 169 nt
Filed under: Mesorhizobium sp.
Lineage: Bacteria; Pseudomonadati; Pseudomonadota; Alphaproteobacteria; Hyphomicrobiales; Phyllobacteriaceae
Description: partial RNase P RNA component class A
Rfam family: Bacterial RNase P class A
About the family: Ribonuclease P (RNase P) is a ubiquitous endoribonuclease, found in archaea, bacteria and eukarya as well as chloroplasts and mitochondria. Its best characterised activity is the generation of mature 5'-ends of tRNAs by cleaving the 5'-leader elements of precursor-tRNAs.
Source: RNAcentral